CAACUAUAUAAGGUACUUUCCCUGGGCAGGUUCGAAUUGCAGAAGGAGGGACUGCUGGUUGUAUACAGUUCACCUUGGUGCAAGACGGUGAUCCGGUGUCUUUCUCAAGAGAGAAGCAAACUGCGGGUCAAAGUGCACCACCAGCCACCAACAGCUAGCUUCCGGAUCAAGUAGGAUGGAAAUGGUUUAUUCCUCCAAAGACUCUUAAAAGAGCAGCCCCUGCUGCAGAAUAGAAAGAGGCUCCAGAGGAGCAGUGAGCUCGAGGAACCCCCCUGAAGAUCCCCAGUUUCUGUAUGCAGCUGCAUCAGGCCCAGACAAAUUCUUCCAUCUGGAGCGUGUCCCCGCAGAUCUUCCCAGCCGCGGCUGUGGUCCGCGUUAUCUCAGGCUGUCAGGUCUCAGAAAUUAGAAACCAUCUCAUUUCAUCAGGGUCAUCCCACACCGUCUGCCACCAUAGAUGGAGAGGAUUUCAAGUGAUGUUUUCUGAAGAUGGUUCUGUUGUCCCGGGAGAGCCCUUGGCGGACAUGGUAGUGCCAGUCAGAGCCCUUGACGCUGUGCAGCCAGGUGGCUUAUUGUCCCAGUGACUUUCCAACCAGAUACUCUCAGUCAGAGUGAAGGGCUCCACUUAGAAACUCCCUUUCCCAUUAACUCGUCAGAGUUAUGCCAUUCCUCUUUAUUCUUUUUAAAAUAUUUAUACUCAAAGAAAUUGUAUGGGGAGUGAGCACACACCAAUCAUAUAACUGUCAAAUGAAAGCCUUUCCUUAAAUGUUCAAGGGCGCCGGAGGAAUAAAUUUGGAGUCAUGCAGAUCUUGUUUCACGAGUGUGUACAUGUGUAUGAAACUUUAUGUGGGUGGAAAACCAACAAGAGAAAAAAGAGAGCAGAAACUGUUGUGUGAUUGCGUUUUCCUGCCCGAGACAUCCUGUGCUCUGCAUCUGAUAACCUGCCACCAACAGGGCUCCACCACAUUGCCCAGGCUGGUCUCAAAGUCCUAGGCUCAUGCGAUCCUCCCACCUCAACCUCCCAAAGUGCUGGAACUACAGGUGUCAGCCACAGCCCCCUGUGAGGAUGCUUAAUCACUCGAGGACGGUAUAAAGGUACAGAAGAACAGCGAGCCACAGACCAGAACCCACCGGAAGCCUCCAGGUGCUGCAGUGAGGAGGAGCUGGAACCCUUCUCCUCCAGGUGCCAGCUCGCGCUGCUGUGGUUCUCAUCUGUAGAGGACGUGGACCAUCCAGGGAAUCACCUGCAGCUGACAGAGGAAACUCUGAAGCCCACCAGGCCUGUACAGACUGGGGAAACACCAGUGCCUGAGGAUAGUGGCUAAACUGCCAGAGAACAUGGGGCUGAGGUGGAGCCUGGAUGACUCUUCUGCCUCUGAGCAAAGCUGCUUGCCCUACACACAACAGUAUUGUCUUAACAUCUGCUGAGUUCCCAGGUCCUCUUAGCAGCAGGCAGAGGCAUUCAGAGCCCAGACCCCAAAGACAUGCUGAUCUGGUUUAAACCUGACUGUGCUACUCAUCAACUGGGGGACCUAGGCAGGUUACAUUGUCUUUUUGUGCCUCAGUUUCCUCAUCUAUAGAAUAGAGGUAUUCUAGUUUCCUGUGAUUUCUGUAAUAAAUUUACAAACUUUGUAACAAAUUACCACAAAUUUGGUGGCUUCAAACGAUAGAAAUUUAUUCUCUCACAAACCUGGAGACCAAAAGUCUAAAGUCUCUAUCAUUGGACUGAAAUAAAAGUGCAGGUGGGGCCAGACACAGUGGCUCACACUUGUAAUCCCAGCACUUCGGGAGGCCAAGGCGGGCGGAUCAUGAGGUUAGGAGUUUGAGACAAGCCUGGCCAAUAUGGUGAAACCCCGUCUCUACUAAAAAUACAAAAUUAGCCAGGCGUGGUGGUGCAUGCCUGUAAUCCCAGCUACUUGGGAGGCUGAGGCAGGUGUAUCUCUUGAAACCAGGAGGCGGAGGUUGCGGUGAGCCAAAAUCAUGCCAUUGCAC
This 1989-nucleotide long non-coding RNA is filed under the name Homo sapiens (human). RNAcentral's name for it is "HSALNT0079506". Lineage: Eukaryota; Metazoa; Chordata; Mammalia; Primates; Hominidae. The record is from RNAcentral.